CUUCCUGGGACAGCAGUGGUGGAAUCAGUGGGGAAGAGGGAAGCAGGGAAAAUGGACAACCCUGCUGGUAGCUUGUGAGCCCCUGUCACAGAACAGAGCUUCAACAAUUUCAAUUAAAGCACUAUGCUCGAGACCGUCAUUAGACCUGCAUUAAAUUACAUAUCUGGAAUGUUAAAAAUAAAGAGUACUGAAGCUUAUUCACAGCUGCCAGUGGUAAAAUUUUAUCAUGAGAGAGGCAUCACAAAGACUGAGUACAACAUAAUGGAAAGCCAGGAUUUGAGUGACAAAGUGACUAUGCAUAUCAUUCCACAUUUGAACUGUAAGACUUCAGUAUUUCUACCUCUAGUGUGUAAUUGGAUCAGCUGCCAGUUACAGAAAGGAGCUGGGGAGCCGUCAGAUGAAAGAAUUCUGUCGUCGAGUUUGAGGUGGGAAAAGAAGAGGAGGAGAUGGAGGAGGAGGGUAUUUUUGUUCCUGUCCUUCAUUUCCUGAUAAGGGACACUUUUGAUCCAGGAGAUGUUUUUCUUUCUUUCUCCCUUUCUCCCUCCUUUUUUUUUUUUUUUUCCUCUUUUUUUCCCCCCUUUUUGUUGGUAAUUUGGUAGUAUGAGACGCAGAUGUUUGAAAUAUUUAAGAAGUUCUCUGGUUUUGUGUUCCCAGCCUCAUUGAUGAGAAAGCUUACGCAUCAUGACAUGUUGAGCCGACGCAAUGAUUAAAGGGCUGUUGCAUAUGCUCUCCCCAGCUGAGUUGCUGUUCUCAUGGUUGUUUUUAGAGCACACAGACAGCGCCUGCAGCAGUGGCUAAUAAGGUCUUAUGCGACUCUGCUAACUUCAGGAUCUGAUCACCCCACGAGUGCGGAGUGGAGUGGAGAACCUGGUCUCAGCAGCUUGACAAAAAUACCCUCGGUGUAUUUCAGCUACAGCAGAGGGUUUGUCAUACUGGAAGGAAAUUACAUUGUGUGCAGAGGGUUGAAUGGGAAUGUGGGGUGUGCACAUGGGCAAAGCAGAGACGUGUGCUUUCAAAAAAGCAAAAUGGGAAUUGUACACAUGACUUACACCGGUGUUCGGUGGAAGAGUUACCCUCUGUGCCUUAGAAAUGCUCGCCCUUUAUUUACCAUACUUUAAGCAAGAAAGUGCACGAAGACUAAGUCUGGUUUAAAACAAAUCAUGGCUGGAGUGCUGCUGCUUUCAGAUGCUAACCUGGAGGCACUAGAUGAAAUCACACCACCACACUGCUCCUUUCACUUCAGAGCUGUCCCAACAAAUCAGCUGAUAAUACCUCUUGCUCAGAGUGAUCUAAAAUUAUAGCUUGAACUGGCAAUGGAAUAAUUAGCAGAAGACAUCUAUUACAGAAGAUGGGCUCAGUGGGGAUUAAAAUGAUGAGAACCAGAAUAACAUUCCAGUUUUCAGGAAUUCCAAAUUAUUUUUCCACUCUUUUCCACCUUGAAUACAGUUUUUGCAAAACUAACUGUGGUACCAGUAGGACCUCAGCAAUGAUUCAUCUGGCGACCCUGCACAUAGCAAGGGGGUUGAAGCUCGAUGAUCACUGUGGUCCUUUUCAACCCAGGCCAUUCUAUGGUUCUAUGAUCUGCUUCCAUAAACAUCGUUCUGCUUCUGUGCAGACAUCAGGGUGCAGUACAGGGGAGUCCGCCAGACAGUAGCGUAAGCUGAAAGAAACACAAGCAGAAAGAACAUCUUUUCUUUCUCACCAGAAAAAAAAGUAAUUUGGG
RNAcentral lists this long non-coding RNA (1723 nucleotides) under Gallus gallus (chicken). RNAcentral describes it as "lncRNA (ENSGALG00010019677.1)". The record is from RNAcentral. Lineage: Eukaryota; Metazoa; Chordata; Aves; Galliformes; Phasianidae.